AACGAACGCUGGCGGCAUGCCUAACACAUGCAAGUCGAACGAAGUCUUCGGACUUAGUGGCGCACGGGUGCGUAACGCGUGGGAAUCUGCCCUUGGGUUCGGAAUAACAGUGAGAAAUUACUGCUAAUACCGGAUGAUGACUUCGGUCCAAAGAUUUAUCGCCCAAGGAUGAGCCCGCGUAAGAUUAGCUAGUUGGUGAGGUAAAGGCUCACCAAGGCGACGAUCUUUAGCUGGUCUGAGAGGAUGAUCAGCCACACUGGGACUGAGACACGGCCCAGACUCCUACGGGAGGCAGCAGUGGGGAAUAUUGGACAAUGGGCGAAAGCCUGAUCCAGCAAUGCCGCGUGAGUGAUGAAGGCCUUAGGGUUGUAAAGCUCUUUUUACCAGGGAUGAUAAUGACAGUACCUGGAGAAUAAGCUCCGGGCUAAACUUCCGUGCCAGCAGCCGCGGUAAAGUGACUACU
RNAcentral lists this ribosomal RNA (463 nucleotides) under uncultured bacterium. RNAcentral's name for it is "bacterial SSU rRNA". It matches the Rfam family "Bacterial small subunit ribosomal RNA", at positions 29 to 531 of the family's 1533-position model. The record is from RNAcentral.